Molecule: ribosomal RNA, 309 nt
Filed under: uncultured eukaryote
Lineage: Eukaryota
Description: partial 18S ribosomal RNA
Rfam family: Eukaryotic small subunit ribosomal RNA
Source: RNAcentral
CCCUUAGAUGUUCUGGGCGGCCCGCGCACUACAUUGGCACUCUCAAUAAGUUCCUAGAUCUAAAACUUUGGGGUAUUCUAUUAAGUGGUGUCGUGACUGGGAUUAACCCUUGCAAUUAUUGGUUACGAACGAGGAAUUCCUUGUAAUCGCGGUUUAUCAGCCCGCGUUGAAUGCGUCCCUGCCCUUUGUACACACCGCCCGUUGCUCCUACCGAUGAAUCGUCCGGUGAAGUUCAUGGAGUGGUGGUUGUUCCAGCUGCUGUCGAAGUGAAAUGGACCUCACGAUUUAGAGGAAGGAGAAGUCGUAACA